UCACUAUUAUGGGCCAUUUUGUGUCAGA
Molecule: non-coding RNA, 28 nt
Filed under: Rattus norvegicus (Norway rat)
Lineage: Eukaryota; Metazoa; Chordata; Mammalia; Rodentia; Muridae
Source: RNAcentral